UGCCUCACAUGAAAAAGCAAUUAACAUUUCAUUCUACAUCAGAAGUUUAAAUGUUGUCAUAAACUAGUUAAUUUUAAAAGUAAACAUGAACAAAAUUAACAUUUCAUUUUAAAAAUAAAAAUAAAAUUAUCCUAUUUUCCACUUCCUACUUCUCUUAGGAAUUCCAUCAAACAAGUAGUGGGCAUCACAAAUGAUCCAACUAUAAACACAAAUCAAUACAAAAAAUUCAAUCAUCUCCGGUCUCCAUAAUUUGAAUUAGACAUUCCCAAGUUUCACCAUUAUUUAGACCAAAUUAAUACCCAAUCAACAACAUACAAAUACACAUACCAAAACAUUAACUUAAAAUAACUAAUGCAUCUAAUAGAAAUUAAAUUACUUGUUCUUGUCUUGAAUCAGCUCUAUAGUUGAUCUUCCUCUUUGCAAAUGUUUCCAAGAAUCACACAAACAAAUGGGCUAUGGAGGAGAAGAGGGAGCGUUGGGCAGUGGGCUAUCGAGAUUAAAGAGUGCAGACCAUAGAAAGAUGGAGAGUGGCACAAAUGGGAUAGGAAUAACCCAAAA
This 558-nucleotide unclassified non-coding RNA is filed under the name Hevea brasiliensis (rubber tree). The record is from RNAcentral. Lineage: Eukaryota; Viridiplantae; Streptophyta; Magnoliopsida; Malpighiales; Euphorbiaceae.